GAUGAACGCUGGCGGCGUGCCUAACACAUGCAAGUCGAGCGGCAGCGCGGGGUGCUUGCACCCUGUCGGCGAGCGGCGGACGGCUGAGUAACGCGUGGGAACGUGCCCCAAAGUGAGGAAUAACUGCCCGAAAGGGUAGCUAAUACCGCAUAUUAUCUUCGGAUCAAAGGAUUUAUUCGCUUUGGGAGCGGCUCGCGUCGGAUUAGGUAGGUGGUGAGGUAAUGGCUCACCAAGCCGACGAUCCGUAGCUGGUCUGAGAGGAUGACCAGCCAGAAUGGAAAUGAGACACGGUCCAGAAUCCUACGGGAGGGAGGAGUGAGGAAUCUUCCACAAUGGGCGAAAGCCUGAUGGAGCAACGCCGCGUGCAGGACGAAGGCCGUCGGGUUGUAAACUGCUUUUAUAAGUGAGGAAUAUGACGGUAACUUAUGAAUAAGGAUCGGCUAACUACGUG
Molecule: ribosomal RNA, 451 nt
Filed under: uncultured bacterium
Lineage: Bacteria
Description: partial 16S ribosomal RNA
Rfam family: Bacterial small subunit ribosomal RNA
Source: RNAcentral